UACGUAGGUCCCGAGCGUUGUCCGGAUUUAUUGGACGUAAAGCGAGCGCAGGUAGUUUAUUAAGUCUGGUGUAAAAGGCAGUGGCUCAACCAUUGUAUGCAUUGGAAACUGGUAGACUUGAGUGCAGGAGAGGAGAGUGGAAUUCCAUGUGUAGCGGUGAAAUGCGUAGAUAUAUGGAGGAACACCGGUGGCGAAAGCGGCUCUCUGGCCUGUAACUGACACUGAGGCUCGAAAGCGUGGGGAGCAAACAGG
This 252-nucleotide ribosomal RNA is filed under the name uncultured bacterium. RNAcentral's name for it is "partial 16S ribosomal RNA". It matches the Rfam family "Bacterial small subunit ribosomal RNA", at positions 524 to 776 of the family's 1533-position model. The record is from RNAcentral.